ACACAAAAGAAGUUUCUUUCCUCUUUUUAUUGUUUUCCCCCUGCACCCAUGACGCAUGGAAGUUCUGGGACCACCAGGCCAGGAAUCGAAUCUGAGCUGCAUCUGAGACCUGUGCCACAGCUGCGGCUACACCAGAGCCUUAACUCACUACUCCGGGCUGGGGAAUCAAAUCGGCAAUGCCACAGAGACAAGCCAGACCAUUAAACCACUGGCCACAAUGGGAACUCCAAAACAAAGUUCUUUCUCAUGUAAAGUUCUGGUCUGCGGUGGCCCUGCUGUAAGAGGUGGUCCAUGGACUGUGGAACUUUCUAUUUUGAGGCUUCUUUGUCCUCCCGCUUGGUUUCCAAGGUCACUGUGCUGCUUUGCUCUAAGGGAAAUGAGCAAGGGGGGUUGUACAAGCUGAAUUUUAGGGCCCAGACCCUCAUUCUUGCUCAUGUUCUGUUGGUCAGGGCUCAGUCACACGACCACCUCUAACUGCAAGGGAGGCUGGGACGUGGAUGUUAGCCCAGGGCCCUGCAAGAAGAGAAAGCAGGUUCCCCCUACUCCAGACUUGUUGCUUAUUGAAAAAACAAACAUCUCAAUUUUCCUUUCAAAAGCAAUAUACUCUCUGUGUAGAAAAAUCAUAACCCAAACUUAAUGCCAUCUGAGACUAGCUUAGCUCUUGGGUGAACUUUCAUGAUUCUUACCUGGCCAGGUGACAGUUCUUUUUUCACCUUCAGAGGAUCACAAGUGAGGAAGAAAUUGUCCCCCUUGUAUCUGUUUGCAGGAUUUCGUCUUUUCUUUGUCAAUACAAGGAGGCUAGGAAAAAUAACAGAUGAGAUACAUGAAGUCAUUGAUGAUAACGUGGCAAGAGCUUGGGUUCCAGGGGAUCGAACCCACAACCCCAUGGUUCCUAGUUGGAUUUGUUUCUGCUGCUCCACAACAGGAACUCCUUACUAGCCAAAUAUUAUGCAGUAUUUUUCUCCACUCAUGAAUUUUUUGGAUCUGUGUACAUGUGCUAGUUCAUUCAUUUGAAGUGCUGUCUUGUCUUCCAUCAGCUGACUCUCACCCUUGCCAUUUAUUUUUCCACUCCCCAGUAACACAUAUAAUACAAGUGCAUUGUCUUCAGUUCCCCGCUCUGGGUAAUUAAUAGUCUCCUCACCUAAGUGUUCAGACAAGGAACCUUAGAGCCCGCUGUUAAAUGACCCAGCUAAGGUGUCACAGUUUUCACAGGCAGUGGAACCAGAGAAUGAGCCAAAACGGACCAUAUCUUCCCUCCCAGGCAAUCGUCUUUCUCACUGCUCCACCGUUAUCUCCUUUCAGGAAAAGGAGAUGAUAAAUUUGCAGGAAGUGUUAGAGAGUUUUAUCUUUAAAAAGCUCCAGGGAGAAAACGACCUUGUUUUGAGAGCAGUGUGAAGGUUUGAUGCCAGAUGGGGUCUCCCCAUGUGUUUCGAGGGCAGAGAACAGACCCGUGUGUGGCGGGAGGGUCACCCCCGACUUGGGGUCUUGUCUGUUGCCUUCCUGGGUGGCUUCCUGGGCAGAGACAGUGAGUGUGACAACCACCUUGAAGCUGGCCUUCUUUUCACAAGGGCAGCCAGACACUCAGGGGACUUUAUCUCCCAGCAUAGAGAGUUCCUGGGGGAACGGGACCACUUCUGUCCUUGGGGGGCAGGGGUGUCCGCGGGGGGUGGUCCCCGCAUCCUUUUUUUCCCAUUUCCACUGAAUAUAGUGUCACUGGAGAGCAGGAUUUGAAACCAGUUAACCUCAAAAGAGGCCAGUCAUGUCUGUCCCCAUUUCUCUUUGAAAAAUGAUGAAUGAUAAACAGUCCUCGAGGUUUACAGAUCUACCAAAAGACGGUCAAGGUUCUGAAACAAUGAGGACAUUCUUUUCCACGCUGAGGAUGGCACCAGGGCCUGGACGCCACCUGGCUCGGUCACUGGCUUCGGAGAGGGCCUGGGGCUGUUUUCGCAACUUCCCAGAGUUUCAGUUUCCUUGUCUUUCAAAGCAGAUGCUGUUGACAGUCACUUGUACCAUCAGACCAAGACUGACCAAUUGUGAGCCUCAGGGCACCCCCCCUCGCAGGAGCCCUUCCAGGACCUCCUAUCUCAUUUUUAUUCGUAAUUUGAUAUGCGUUUUUAUAAAGUGCAUCCCCCAAGUUGUGUAAGCUGUGGCCCC
Molecule: long non-coding RNA, 2154 nt
Filed under: Sus scrofa (pig)
Lineage: Eukaryota; Metazoa; Chordata; Mammalia; Artiodactyla; Suidae
Description: lncRNA (ENSSSCG00060010883.1)
Source: RNAcentral